CCCUGGGGGCAAGAAUUAUGUCUCCUCCACUUAUAAACCACCAACUUCUAGCCCAUAUACCCCUUCAAUAUAUAGACAUUACUUCUAGAAUGUGAAUGCUAACAUCAACGAGAUUUUUCUUUCUCCUAGAUUCCUUUUCACAUUACACAGUUUUGGUUUUUACACAGUUCUUCUGGGGGAGUAAAUAGAGUAUGAAGUGUUGGAACAGCAGCUGCCCUUUGAAGCUGGAAUACCAUCAGGGCAUGAUGUUCAUCAGCCUGGAAAGAGGAAGGAAGGGUGCUGUGCAGGGUAGUAGUUGAGUUCAUGGAUAUCUUCAGGCAUACCAACCAGAGAAAAAAAUACAAGUUCCUAUUCCACAGUUCAUCCUGAUUGUUUCCUUUCCAUGAACUUUUGUUAUUCCAAAUAUGCUUUCAGGAUUUAAACUCUCAAUUAAUGUGUUUUGUUCAUACAACAAAGCCUAUUUCUCCUCAUGUUCGUGGAAAUGAUUAGUGAGUGGAAAAUGGCUCAAAAUUAAUAAAGACAAUAUUAGAAACUC
Canis lupus familiaris (dog) is the source of this 535-nucleotide long non-coding RNA. RefSeq lists it as uncharacterized. The transcript has 3 exons. The record is from RefSeq and is a predicted model, not a curated record. Lineage: Eukaryota; Metazoa; Chordata; Mammalia; Carnivora; Canidae.